CCUACGGGCGGCAGCAGUAGGGAAUAUUGCUCAAUGGGGGAAACCCUGAAGCAGCAACGCCGCGUGGAGGAUGAAGGUUUUCGGAUUGUAAACUCCUUUUGGUAGAGAAGAUAAUGACGGUAUCUAACGAAUAAGCACCGGCUAACUCCGUGCCAGCAGCCGCGGUAAUACGGAGGGUGCAAGCGUUACUCGGAAUCACUGGGCGGAAAGAGCGCGUAGGCGGGAUAGCAAGUCAGAUGUGAAAUCCUAUGGCUUAACCAUAGAACUGCAUUUGAAACUGUUAUUCUAGAGUAUGGGAGAGGUAGGUGGAAUUCUUGGUGUAGGGGUAAAAUCCGUAGAGAUCAAGAGGAAUACUCAUUGCGAAGGCGACCUGCUAGAACAUAACUGACGCUGAUGCGCGAAAGCGUAGGGAGCAAACAGGAUUAGAUACCCUUGUAGUC
This 440-nucleotide ribosomal RNA is filed under the name uncultured bacterium. Its description in RNAcentral is "partial 16S ribosomal RNA". It matches the Rfam family "Bacterial small subunit ribosomal RNA", at positions 338 to 795 of the family's 1533-position model. The record is from RNAcentral.